Molecule: ribosomal RNA, 436 nt
Filed under: uncultured bacterium
Lineage: Bacteria
Description: bacterial SSU rRNA
Rfam family: Bacterial small subunit ribosomal RNA
Source: RNAcentral
GAUGAACGCUGGCGGCGUGCUUAACACAUGCAAGUCGAACGAAGCACUUUAUUUGAUUUCCUUCGGGACUGAUUAUUUUGUGACUGAGUGGCGGACGGGUGAGUAACGCGUGGGUAACCUGCCUUGUACAGGGGGAUAACAGUUGGAAACGGCUGCUAAUACCGCAUAAGCGCACGGCAUCGCAUGAUGCAGUGUGAAAAACUCCGGUGGUAUAAGAUGGACCCGCGUUGGAUUAGCUAGUUGGUGAGGUAACGGCCCACCAAGGCGACGAUCCAUAGCCGACCUGAGAGGGUGACCGGCCACAUUGGGACUGAGACACGGCCCAAACUCCUACGGGAGGCAGCAGUGGGGAAUAUUGCACAAUGGGCGAAAGCCUGAUGCAGCGACGCCGCGUGAGCGAAGAAGUAUUUCGGUAUGUAAAGCUCUAUCAGCAGGG